UUUGUGCCCCAGCCACAAAAUGGAGGACGGCGACGGUGCAAGCAGCAGCCGCAGCAGCCGCGGCAGCCUCCGCCUCCUCCUUCUCCUCCUCUUCCCCCCUCCCUCCCCUAGACCAAGGAAAGAGAGCAGAGACGCGGCAGAGCGGGGAGCCCGCGCAGGAAAGGCGGGCGCGCGCAUUGCGGGGCAGCCGAGGGGGAACGGUGCAACCUGUUGACUGAGAACAGCAACUGCACCCCCCGGCAGGGCCUCCUCCUCCUCGUCCUCCCCCCCCCCAUCUUCUCCAAACGUGCCCCUUUCCGCUAACACUUUCUUUUUUCUUCUUCCCUACCUUACUUUCUUUUAUUAUUAUUAUUUUUUCGGUUUUGUUAUCUUGCCCGCUGCAGCCUUACGGUUUUUUAAAUUAUUUUUUGGGUUUGGUUUUUAUAAAGCAGCGUGUUGAUUUAGAAGUCGAACCCGCUGCGUUUUUAAAAGGUCUGGGCUGUUCAAAGGAGGGGGUGAAAACGAGCGAACGAGGGGACGACGAAAAACAGGCAACAAACAAACCUUCAGAGAGGAUUGAAGGGCCAGCGCUGACGCGUUAAGCCGAAGUGACAGGAAAGGAUUUCGGUAUUUCCUAGAAAAUAACACUUUUUAGAACUGUAAAUUCAGGGUGCCAUCUUAUAUAUGCGUUAUUAGAAAAAAAACCAAAUCUACUUAAACAGGUGAGAUUUUGGAGGGGGGGGGGAAAUGUAUAUAAAUUGUAUGCUAUACAGACAAUUGUUGGCUAUUAAAUGACUAUUAGAGGAGCAGGCCUCUCCAUUACAUGUCUCAUUUUAAAACAGUUUUCAAUAUUAUAUAUCAACAAAAAAACAACAACCAAGUUCUGCAUUAGCUAGUGGCUUAUACAGCUCACUUGUAGGAUAUAUGGGUCCAAUGAAAACAGACUGGAGAAAGACAUAUAUGAAUUUCUGUGCAUAUAAUUAUCAAUUUGAUAUCUACCUUAUGCAUAUUUUUUCAUGUGUCCGUAUGCAGACACAUUUCUAGAAAUGUAUGUAUGUAUAUAUGCAUGUAUGCAUGUUUGAUUCAAUUAAAUUUUAUUUAAUUCAAUUUAAGGUACAUAAGAGUUACGAAAACACAGACAGCACUGUUUUGAACCUAGAAUGGCUUCCUCAGAUGUCCCAAGUUUGAAAAGACAGUAGUGAUCUGGAAGUUUAAUUUAAGUUAGCAUUAAAUAGUUCUGUUCUGUGUGUAAAAUAAAGCUUGGCUGCUUUGAAUGAAUCCAUGCUUGAAUUUUACCUUUGUAGUUUGGGAUUGGAUUUUUUUUUUUAAAUAGAAAAAACAGUCUAACCAGUGCAAUAGCAGGAAUUGACAAUACCAUGCUGUUUGUAGGUUAGAUUAGAUAGGGUUAGAUAGGAUCAGUGCCAGAAUGCAGGGAGAAAGAUGUAGUUUCUAAGCACUAGGGGAAAGAUUGAAAGAUCCAUGUUCAUCACCCGCUUCUACUUUUGUACAGUUUGAAGACUACUUGCAAUUGCCUGCUUACCUGGAAAAAGAAAAUGGAAGAAUUGCCUGAAGAUGAUCUAGCUGAGCCUGUACAUAUGGAUCCUGCUCUUUGCUGAAUGAGAUUUGAUCAGAUAAGGAAAGAAGCUUCCUUCCAGUCCCAACAGUUUCCUAGAGUGAACCAAAUACCAAAAAAAAGAGGGAGGAAAUUUCCAGUUGCAGAAUAGAGAUGGAAUGAGUAUUGUAAAGUAGGGAAUAUUCUGGUUUAUAGGAUAAACCAUCCACCAGCUUAUUCUGCAAGCUAAGAAUGCAAGAAAUGCAAGUUAAAAUGAUGAAAAGAAUGUCUGAGUGUAAAUUUGUGAGAAGCCUGUUCCAAAUUGUGGUCAGUUUGGAUUUCCUUUGAGGAGAUGGCACCUUUGCUAAAAGACUUCUUUAAUGGCCAAAAAUAUCCUAGUAACUUUCAUGUAAAUGAA
Non-coding RNA from Pseudonaja textilis, 1949 nucleotides. Lineage: Eukaryota; Metazoa; Chordata; Lepidosauria; Squamata; Elapidae. The record is from RefSeq and is a predicted model, not a curated record.